UCACAGGAAGAAGAUGAUGUGCAGGAUCCUGCUGCUCCUCAUACUGACCUUCUGUGUCUGUGGUUAGUGUGAGAGAGAGAGAGAGAGACAGAGAGAGAGAGAGAGAGAGAGAGAGAGAGAUAGAGAGACGUUAGGGGGCGGAGCGUCGAAACCGAAAGUAAACUGUGGGGAUUUCCCGGUUAUUUGCUACAUGCCAAAAAAUGACCUCCGUGAAUUUUGGUCAACAAGAGCAACAAGGAGACUGAAGUGUUGGAGGCGGGUUGACGAAGAAUUAAGUAGUUGGAAUUUGUAGUCUGACGGUUCUAUCAGGCAGAGGAGAACCAGAACGUCACGCUGGAGUGGACCUUCACACCCCAAGAUGACCCCUCACUUCACUCUCUUUAUAUCUACUGUUUGAUGGUCACUGAUCACAAAGUCUGUGUCCUGUUUGAACUGAUCCGAGGAGUCGAGGUCUCAGAGUCUCAGGAUGAACAGUUUGCAGGACGAGUCCACUGUGACAAAGACGUCCUCAAAGAAGGACGACUCAGACUUCACAUGUCCUAAUUGAGGACUGAAGACUCAGGCCUAUGCAAGUGUGAAGUGAUGACAAACGAUGGUAUGGUCGCUGGUAGAAGCCGUCUUAAUGUGACCGCAGCUGCUCAUGAGCACCAAACUCAGAGACCAACAGUGAGACCAGGAGCAGAGAGUCUAGGAAGACCUGGACUGGGACUGUUACUGUUCCUGGCAGCAUCAGCUGGACUGGCUCUCUGUGUCUCUAAAAAAAUGUGUCUUUAAAUCUGCUGAUGAGAGAGAAAACAUCUCUGCAGUCAUGUAUGUUGAAGAAAUUACUAAGACUUGACUCCAUACAAUAAAACUCAGUUGACUCAGA
Long non-coding RNA from Labrus bergylta (ballan wrasse), 868 nucleotides. RefSeq lists it as uncharacterized. The record is from RefSeq and is a predicted model, not a curated record. NCBI's taxonomy places the organism in Eukaryota, Metazoa, Chordata, Actinopteri, Labriformes, Labridae.